RNA transcript from Argentina anserina (silverweed cinquefoil), 1928 nucleotides. RefSeq lists it as uncharacterized. The transcript is spliced from 3 exons. The record is from RefSeq and is a predicted model, not a curated record. Lineage: Eukaryota; Viridiplantae; Streptophyta; Magnoliopsida; Rosales; Rosaceae.
GAAGCCACCUGAACACAGACUGGGCCGAUCUGAACACCCAUCUCCGUUUUCUGAUGCCCAGAUAGAGUAGAUCACUGGAUUGGUCUGCAAUGGAGAAUGAACAAGUUAUGAUCUUGGAUUUGAACCAACAACCUCAUGAUUCUGCCACCGGCUUAGACUCCAUACUGAAUGAACUAGAAUCUGCCCAUGGACGCAUUGAAGAGCGUAUCAGACAGCUCGAAGCAGUCACCGUUAGGCAGCGUCGCCGGUGGAGACAAUCCCUUGUUCCCCCUCAAGUUAUCAAUAUCACUCCACCUGCUCCUACACCAAACCAACAGCACAUUCAGACUGCGCUUCAUGAUGAUGCCACAACAGGAGAGACCGCAAAAACCAACAUACCUGAGAGUACCCAUUUGAUAGCCAAGGCACUCGCAUCGGAUACAAAUCCUAAGAGGGUAGAGCCUUGUGUAGGGAGCUUCUUCGACUGUAAUAUAUGCUUGGGUAUGGCUACAGAUCCUAUUUUAACCUGCUGCGGUCAUUUGUUUUGUUGGCCAUGCUUCUAUCAGUUGUCUUAUGCCGAUUCAAUUGCAAAAGAAUGCCCUGUCUGCAAAGGCGAAGUUUCAGACGCAAGUAUUAUUCCAGUUUAUGGGCAUGGUGAUUGUAAGAGUUCCCGAAACUCGAAGGAAUCUGUUUCUGUGGCCCCUCCUAGGCCCCGUGCAGCCAGGAUUGAGGGUGUGAGGCAGCAGAUCAUCAGGCGAGGGCCAUCUUCUAUAAUUGAGCACAGGAUUCAGCUACUUAGAAACUUAGUUGCAAUGGGGGAGGGAAGACAGACACAGGAUCUUUUUGGUUCACAUACCAAUGCAAUGGCUGAAAGAAAUAGUGUCUUUCCCAGCCGGUAUACAUCACCCGCCGCAGAGGCAUCAAGCACCCGGCAACAUGAUACACUUCAAGUUUCAAGAUUAUUGAUGCAUAGAGCUGCUUCAGUGUCUUCCCUUUCAUCAGCACUGAAUACUGCAAUGGAUUCUGCUGAAAGAUUAGUUGAGGAUCUCGAGGCAUUUAGCAAUGAUCCCUGGAUGAGAAGAAACCGCCAGCAAUCUCCAAGUCAUGAUAAUGGAGUUACAUCUUCAAAUAUUGCUAUAAUUAUACAACCAGAAAACCUGACAUCUGAUACAGCCACUGAAAUCAAUUCAGAUGUGCUUCCAGCUGCUUCCUUUUUAAGGAGUUUUCCUGCCAGUGCGGGCUUGCAGGACCAGACACUGAAUUCAGAAACAAGUUCAACAGUCCGAUCUUCAUCUUCGAGGAGAAGAAGUUUUCAGAGAGGCUCUGGUGUGAUUAUUAAUCAGCAUUCAUCCGAACCUAGAAGGAGGAGGUUGAGAUGAAGCAGUGAUCCAUCUCAUUCGAAGGAGGAGGUUCCUUAUGUUUUAGAUACUUCUUCAUACGGCUGUGCAUGCCAAGUUGCCAACCAUGUUGAAAUUCUAACUGCUGUUAAAAGUAACUGUGAAUACCUGUUGUAUAAAGGAUACUCCAAUGUGAUUAUAUCUCGGCUAUUAAUAACGGCAGAGUACUGUCCUCCUUUCCAUUCCAAAGAAUUGAAGCCAUGUAACAGGUCAUAUAGGCAGUGCUGCAUAGACAAACCCGCAAGAUCAUUUGGAUUAAGAAACAGAGAGACGUCGGACGUGCUGAUGGGUAUAAUUACAGCGAGUCUAGGAUUGCCAAUAUUCAACAAAGAUGGCUCUCUCUCUAUAUAUAUGGUUAUUAUUCAGAGAAUCAUCGGCUGUUUAAUGGUAAACAUGAUGAACUAACAAAUUUGAUAGUACCAGCUGGUAUGCAAGACUGGUUCAGUACUUCAGUUGAUUAGUUUGAUGUGUAUUCUUAUCAGCACUACUUGUGUAUUCCUUACUGCAGAGUGAAUUAGUAGUGUAGUUGUGAAUCAGACGUCCAUAUUUAAU